UACGAAGGGGGCUAGCGUUGCUCGGAAUCACUGGGCGUAAAGGGCGCGUAGGCGGCCGAUCAAGUCAGAGGUGAAAGCCCAGGGCUCAACCCUGGAAUUGCCUUUGAUACUGUUCGGCUCGAGACCGGAAGAGGUUAGUGGAACUGCGAGUGUAGAGGUGAAAUUCGUAGAUAUUCGCAAGAACACCAGUGGCGAAGGCGGCUAACUGGUCCGGUUCUGACGCUGAGGCGCGAAGGCGUGGGGAGCAAACAGG
This 253-nucleotide ribosomal RNA is filed under the name uncultured bacterium. RNAcentral's name for it is "partial 16S ribosomal RNA". It matches the Rfam family "Bacterial small subunit ribosomal RNA", at positions 524 to 776 of the family's 1533-position model. The record is from RNAcentral.